AGAGAGUGAAGACUCCCAACUUAAAUGGGCAGUAAAUAUCUUCAAGAAAAUUAUAGAUGAAAACUUCCCUAACCUAAAGAAAGAGAUGCCCAUAAACAUACAAGAAGCCUCAGAACUCCAAAUAGAUUGGACCAGAAAAGAAAGUCCUCAUGUCACAUAAUAGUCAAAACACCAAAUGCACUAAACAAAGAAAGAAUAUUAAAAGCAGUAAGGGAAAAAGGUCAAGUAAUAUAUAAAGGCAGACCUAUCAGAAUGACACCAGACUUCUCACCAGAGACUAUGAAGGCCAGAAGAUCCUGGACUGAUGUCAUACAGACCCUAAGAGAACACAAAUGCCAGCCCAGGUUACUGUAUCCAACAAAACUCUCAAUUAACAUAGAUGGAGAAACCAAGAUAUUCCAUGACAAAACCAAAUUUACACAAUAUAUUUCCACAAACCCAGCACUACAAAAGAUAA
This 457-nucleotide long non-coding RNA is filed under the name Rattus norvegicus (Norway rat). RNAcentral describes it as "long non-coding RNA NONRATT023067". Lineage: Eukaryota; Metazoa; Chordata; Mammalia; Rodentia; Muridae. The record is from RNAcentral.